CCUACGGGAGGCAGCAGUAGGGAAUUUUCGGCAAUGGGGGGAACCCUGACCGAGCAACGCCGCGUGAAGGAAGAAGGAAUUCGUUCUGUAAACUUCUGUUAUAAAGGAAGAAAGACGGAUGGAGGAAAUGACAUCCGAGUGACGGUACUUUAUGAGAAAGCCACGGCUAACUACGUGCCAGCAGCCGCGGUAAUACGGAGGAUGCGAGCGUUAUCCGGAUUUAUUGGGUUUAAAGGGUGCGCAGGCGGCCUGUUAAGUCAGCGGUAAAAGCCCGGGGCGCAACCCCGGCGAGCCGUUGAAACUGGCGGUCUGGAGUUGGAGAGAAGUACGCGGAAUGCGCGGUGUAGCGGUGAAAUGCUUAGAUAUCGCGCAGAACCCCGAUUGCGAAGGCAGCGUACCGGCUCCACACUGACGCUGAGGCACGAAAGCGUGGGUAUCGAACAGGAUUAGAUACCCCAGUAGUC
Molecule: ribosomal RNA, 464 nt
Filed under: uncultured bacterium
Lineage: Bacteria
Description: partial 16S ribosomal RNA
Rfam family: Bacterial small subunit ribosomal RNA
Source: RNAcentral